Long non-coding RNA from Salvia miltiorrhiza (redroot sage), 972 nucleotides. RefSeq lists it as uncharacterized. NCBI's taxonomy places the organism in Eukaryota, Viridiplantae, Streptophyta, Magnoliopsida, Lamiales, Lamiaceae. The record is from RefSeq and is a predicted model, not a curated record. The transcript is spliced from 2 exons.
AAAGCGGUGCGCUUUUUUUCGGCACGGGAUUUAAGGAGAAUAAGAUUGUAGUGUAAAAGUGUGUAAAGGUGUGUGGGGCCACAUUGUUUGUAGUGUAAAAUUAUUACCAAAAUAAUGCUUAUAAAUUUCUGCUUAUAAAUAAUGCUUCAUCCCUUCACAAUUCUUCACACCUCAAACAACUCUCUCUCAUCUCUCACUCUCUCUAACUUGAUUCUCUCUCUGUAAGCUAUUGUGAUGGCGACGAUGUGGAUGAUUGUGUGUGCGAUAAUUUUGGUGAUGGUCGGCGGCGAGCAGCCGGCAUGCGACAAGGUCCCCUUCACUCCACUUCUCAACGCUACUCAGAAAGGAGCAGGUUAAUUCAUUCACAAUUUUUUUUACAUGCAUUAAUUAAUUUCAACAUCUAAUUAAAACUACAUCUACUGAUUUAAUUAUAAAAGAUAAAAUCUAAAUUUUUUUUACCUUUUAUAAAACAUAUAAAUAUAUCAAUUUAAGAUAUUUUUACCCUUAUAUAUGUCGAGCAUUAGCGUAUUUUCUAAGAAUGCUCGACUCGCAAUGUUUGAGCACGUCCAACAUUGGAGUAUUUACCAUUACUUGCUAGACUUGCAGAAGUCGAGCAUAUCGAGCAUUAAUAUAUUUAUCACAAAUACACUAAUGCUCGACAUGCUCGAGUAAUGCAUGCAUAUCGAGCAUUAGUGUAUUUACAACUAGUCUAGUUGACGGAUGGAAAUUGCAGUGCCUUCUUUUUCAAUUUUGGGUUAGGCUGAGAAAGUAUUGGUCACCAAAUUCCACAGCCAAAUUGGGAAAUUUGACCAUGUUGGAGGCCUUUGCAGAUUGGUAUUUCGAUAGAAAUUCGGUGAUUACCUUGAUCAGCACAUAUGCUUCUCGAGUUUUGUUAAUGAUAUUUUAAGAAUUUUAAUUUGAAGUUAAUUGCAACUUGUAAGAGAGUUUUGGAUGUUAAAAUAAUGGUCCAUU